CCUACGGGAGGCAGCAGUAAGGAAUAUUGGUCAAUGGAGGCAACUCUGAUCCAGCCAUCCCGCGUGCAGGAAGACGGCCCUAUGGAUUGUAAACUGCUUUUAUGACGGAAUAACAGACUYCUCUACKURUWCGGGUUUGMCUGUAYSYMAUGAAUAAGCAUCGGCUAACUCCGUGCCAGCAGCCGCGGUAAU
RNAcentral lists this ribosomal RNA (192 nucleotides) under uncultured bacterium. Its description in RNAcentral is "partial 16S ribosomal RNA". It matches the Rfam family "Bacterial small subunit ribosomal RNA", at positions 338 to 524 of the family's 1533-position model. The record is from RNAcentral.